AGUACUUCUACCUCAUCUUUACCAAACAGUAAUUUUGAAGUAACUCCACCAUGCAACUUAAUAAAAUUAAAGAUUAGCUACUAACCCUAUGAUGAAAUUAUUUAGACACGAGGUAGAGGUACGAACCUAGAAAAUAGAAAUUGAGACAGUGAACAAAAUAUAGUGUGAUGAUCGUUAAUUAGAAAUAGAAAAUUUAUAAACUCUAAUUUGUUAAAAUGUUAUGUGCCUGAAGUUUGAAGCUCGAAGAACAUAAGGUUUACGUCGGCACAAGUUAAGUUGAAAACCUUAUGAUCAGUUAGACGCUGAUACUUGAAAGGUUAAGUUCUUUAUUUUUUAGCUAAAUAUGACUUUUUGAUUUUCUUAUUUUGUUUACUAUUUCAAUAUCUAUUUCUAAGAUUAGUACCUCUACCUCGUCUUUAAAUAAUUCCAUGAUAGGGUUAGUAGCUAAUUUUUAAUUUUAUUAAGUUGCAUGGUGGUGUUCCUUCAAAAGUCAUGUUGGGUUAUUUUACUUCUUUGUUUGCUAAUUAGAAAUAGAAAAUUUAUAAACUCUAAUUUUUGAAAAAUGGCAUGAGCUUGAAGGUUGGAGCUCGAAGAACAUAAGGUUUGCGUCGGCACAAGUUAAGUUGAAGAACUGAUGAUUAGUUAAAAGCUG
Molecule: long non-coding RNA, 652 nt
Filed under: Ricinus communis (castor bean)
Lineage: Eukaryota; Viridiplantae; Streptophyta; Magnoliopsida; Malpighiales; Euphorbiaceae
Description: long non-coding RNA (RCOM_LNC003434)
Source: RNAcentral